This is a long non-coding RNA of Nerophis ophidion (straightnose pipefish), 194 nucleotides long. RefSeq lists it as uncharacterized. The record is from RefSeq and is a predicted model, not a curated record. The transcript has 2 exons. Lineage: Eukaryota; Metazoa; Chordata; Actinopteri; Syngnathiformes; Syngnathidae.
GUUAGAUGAUGUCACUUCCGCUAAAUUACUUCCUGUUGGUUGACUUCCGGUAUUUGUUCGAAAGCUAGAGAUACAUUUUGUGGUCUUCUGUAGUACUUUCUGUUGCCAUCCUACACAAAGCGGCGAAGAAGCAAUGCCUUUUUCACCAUCUUGUCUAUGAAGGAAUUGUCAAAAGUAAAUGGUCAAGCUUACAA